This 999-nucleotide ribosomal RNA is filed under the name Triticum aestivum (bread wheat). RNAcentral describes it as "partial small subunit ribosomal RNA". The record is from RNAcentral. Lineage: Eukaryota; Viridiplantae; Streptophyta; Magnoliopsida; Poales; Poaceae.
AUGAGACUCACAUAUGGAAGGAGCAUGGCGCUACCACUGGUUCCACCAGCAAGACUUUGUGAACUUUAUCUUUCUUCGUGCAGUAUUACAGAUGGAGCUUUAGCUCUUUGCCUUAAUGGCCUGGCUUCACUGAAAAAGUUAUGCUUAGAAGGGAUUAUGACUCUAACUACACUUCCUUCAGAAGAGGUCCUCCAACAUUUGACAGAACUUGACUACUUGUCCAUCCAUAAUUGCUGGUGUCUCUGGUCAUUAGGGGGCUUACGAGCUGCUGUCUCUCUUUCAUUUGUUAGAUUGAUUUCGUGCCCUUCUCUAGAGUUGGCACGUGGAGCAGAAUUUUUGCCAUUAUCCCUUAAGGUGCUCAUUAUAGAAAAUUGUGUGCUUGCAGCUGACUUCCUCUGUACUGAGUGGCCACACAUUGAUAAAAUUAGCAUAACCAAUUGUAGAAGCACCGCAUGCUUGUCUGUUGGUAGUCUCACCUCUGUUAAAUUAUUCUCACUUUAUCACUUGCCAGAUUUAUGUUCUCUCGAAGGAUUGUCUUCGCUGCAACUGUACAACCUACAUUUGGUUGAUGUUCCAAAACUCAUCCCUGAGUGUAUCUCACAGUUUCGAGUCCAGAGAUCACUCUAUAUUAGCAGUCCCGUGAUACUCAACAACAUGCUCUCAGCUGAAGGUUUCACAGUUCCAACAUUUCUCUGUCUUGCUAGAUGGGAGCAACCAUUCAUUUCAUUUGAAGAAUUCACAAACUGUACAUCUGUUCAGAGGCUGAGAUUCAGUGUUUGUGAAAUGACUUCCCUGCCAGAAAAUCUGAAGUGCUUCCCCAAUCUGAAGAUGCUCGACAUUGUUAGCUGCCCCAAUAUAUCAUCUUUACCAGAUCUGCCAACCUCCCUCCAGCAGAUAAGUGUAUGGGGGCGUUGUGAACGCUUGAAGGAGAGUUGCCGAGCACCUGAUGGAGAAAGUUGGCCAAAGAUUGCACAUAUUCGCAGGAAGUACUUUUUAUAA